Long non-coding RNA from Mesocricetus auratus (golden hamster), 935 nucleotides. RefSeq lists it as uncharacterized. Lineage: Eukaryota; Metazoa; Chordata; Mammalia; Rodentia; Cricetidae. The record is from RefSeq and is a predicted model, not a curated record. The transcript is spliced from 4 exons.
GCAGGGUUUCAUGGAACCCAGAGUGAUCUCAGACUCUCCCUAGCAACGCCUGGCGCUGGCACCCACCGCCACGUGCUGGGAUUACGGACUCGCUCCUCCUCACCAGACUUUGAAACCCGACUUCACAAACAGCUGCUAUGAUUAUUAAUGCAGGUGUUCGGAGGAGCACAGGCUCUGGAGUCAGGCCUGGCUCUGGAGCCCAGCCCUGAUCUUCACCGCUUACCUUGGUGAACAUAGCCAACUAUCUGCACAGUUCUCCUUUAGAGAGAUGACCACCACAAUGGGACACUUGCUUGGUGACUUUCCUAAGAAGCAUGCCUGUUACUUAGGACUCUGCUGUGCUCCCAGAAGGUGCUACAAAUGUGUUUGUUCUUCUGAACGGAGCCACAUAUACCUAGUUUAAACUAGUUACAGCCAAGACACUGGCCACCACAUUACUCAGAAGACAUCCUUCUGCAGUCGCCUGAUGCUGCUGGAUAACAAUAUUCAGCAAACGCGUGCAGGAAAUACACAUUGCUUGGGGACGGAGCUGAUAGUGUACACGUCUGGAAUAGAAGCUGCCUGAGUGGGUGAUGUAGAGAAGUAAGGGAAAGGGUUGGACUGCGAAACCAUGAAGUUCGGUGCAGGAAUGGGAAGUCAGCAUCAGGCGGGACGGUGCGAGGACACAGGGGUCCUGCCCCCUUGGUGCUGAACCGUCUGCUCCUGGUAGGCUCAGGGAUGGAAUCGCUACCUCAGUUGUUCAUCCACUCACGACCCAGUCAAGAUCCAAAAGAGAGUUCUGAUUCCAACCCAGUGGUCACACAGAUGGCCCUGCUUCACAUAGGCUGGUCAUGAAAUAAAAACCAAGGUCAGAAACCUGAGAAAGAAACUGGGGAAGGGGGGCGGGGAGUGUGUGUCAGAGGGCGAGGGUGAUGGAAAAGAGUAAUCAGAAUAAA